Molecule: non-coding RNA, 583 nt
Organism: Hydra vulgaris (swiftwater hydra)
Lineage: Eukaryota; Metazoa; Cnidaria; Hydrozoa; Anthoathecata; Hydridae
Source: RefSeq, a predicted model, not a curated record
UGAAAAUAGUUAAACUACCAUUCUCAAUUAUGAGCAACAAAAAUGCAAGUAUAGUUACAAUGAAAUGAUCACAACCUAACACGAAAACAAUAAGUGAAACAUCACAAUUGUUUGCACAUUAGAAAAGCAAGUCCUGAUAUUAAUGUGCAAAAAUUUGCCAAAUGUUUUCAAUCUCCAAUAUAUAUGGAACUACGAUACCUAAAGUCUUAAAAAGUCUUUAUUUGCAUUGGAUAUCUUGGUGGAAAAGACUGAGUUUGAAGAUUCAUAAUUUUAUUAUGAUGAAAUAAAUGAUAUAACAAGGUCUUUUUCAGCUCUGCUAAUAAUAUUUUGGAUGAAAUAAUGUCAAAAUGUGUUCCAUUGUUUAAGGAAGCUGAAACUUAUCGAAAUAAAUUAUUUCAAAAAAACUUAUUUAGUAGAAUAAUUAUAGGAACAUUAGUGUCACAUACAGCAAAUUUCGAUUUGGUCGAUAAGUUGAAAGGCGAUUGUUUGAAGAGAAUAAUAAAAUAAAUAGCUUAAUAAAACAGCAAAAAAAAACUAUUAUGUUGUGUAUGCUUAAAUUGUAAAUAAACACAAAAUGUUAAAA